CGAAAGCCUGACGGAGCAAGACCGCGUGGGGGAGGAAGGCUCUAGGGUUGUAAACCCCUUUUCUUUGGGAAGAACAAAAUGACGGUACCAAAGGAAUCAGCCUCGGCUAACUCCGUGCCAGCAGCCGCGGUAAUACGGAGGAGGCAAGCGUUAUCCGGAAUGAUUGGGCGUAAAGCGUCCGCAGGUGGCAAUUCAAGUCUGCUGUCAAAGCACGGGGCUUAACUCCGUUAAGGCAGUGGAAACUACAUAGCUAGAGUUCGGUAGGGGCAAAGGGAAUUCCCGGUGUAGCGGUGAAAUGCGUAGAGAUCGGGAAGAACAUCGGUGGCGAAAGCGCUUUGCUAGACCGAAACUGACACUCAGGGACGAAAGCUAGGGGAGCG
This 380-nucleotide ribosomal RNA is filed under the name uncultured cyanobacterium. RNAcentral describes it as "bacterial SSU rRNA". It matches the Rfam family "Bacterial small subunit ribosomal RNA", at positions 376 to 770 of the family's 1533-position model. Lineage: Bacteria; Bacillati; Cyanobacteriota. The record is from RNAcentral.